AGAGUUUGAUCCUGGCUCAGAACGAACGCUGGCGGAGUGCUUAAUACAUGCAAGUCGAGCGAGAAAGCGAUUUUCGGAUUGUGAGUAAAGCGGCGAACGGGUGAGUAACACGUAAGCAACCUGCCCCUAAAUCUGGGAUAACCUUUCUAACGGGGGGCUAAUACCGGAUGUGGUUAUUGAGAUGCAUAUUUUGAUAAUUAAAGGUGACCUCUACUUGUAAGUUAUUGUUUGGGGAUGGGCUUGCGUACCAUUAGUUAGUUGGUAGGGUAAUGGCCUACCAAGACAGUGAUGGUUAGCCGACCUGAGAGGGUGAUCGGCCACAUUGGGACUGAGAUACGGCCCAGACUCCUACGGGAGGCAGCAGUAGGGAAUUUUGCGCAAUGGACGAAAGUCUGACGCAGCAACUCCGCGUGAGGGAUGAAUGCCUUCGGGUUGUAAACCACUGUUGGCAGGGACGAAAUAGAUGUAUGCUAAUAUCAUACAUUUUUGACGGUACCUGUCGAGGAAGCCCCGGCUAACUACGUGCCAGCAGCCGCGGUAAUACGUAGGGGGCGAGCGUUGUUCGGAAUCACUGGGCGUAAAGCGAGCGUAGGCGGGUUAGUAAGUUAGAAGUGAAAUGUAUCGGCUCAACCGAUAAUCUGCUUUUAACACUGCUAGUCUUGAGUAUGGAAGAGGAAGAUGGAAUUCCAGGUGUAGCGGUGGAAUGCGUAGAUAUCUGGAAGAACACCAGUGGCGAAGGCGGUCUUCUGGUCCAAUACUGACGCUGAGGCUCGAAAGCUAGGGGAGCGAACAGGAUUAGAUACCCUGGUAGUCCUAGCCGUAAACGAUGGACACUAGAUGCUGGAUGCGUAAGAUGUUCAGUGUCGUAGCUAACGCGUUAAGUGUCCCGCCUGGGGAGUACGCUCGCAAGAGUGAAACUCAAAGGAAUUGACGGGGGCCCGCACAAGCGGUGGAGCAUGUGCUUUAAUUCGAUGCAACGCGAAGAACCUUACCUGGCCUUGACAUGGGAGUGAAAGUUUUCAGAGAUGAGAGCCUUUCCUUUUGGAACACUCCACACAGGUGCUGCAUGGUUGUCGUCAGCUCGUGUCGUGAGAUGUUGGGUUAAGUCCCGCAACGAGCGCAACCCCUAUCCUUAGUUGCCAGCACGUAACGGUGGGAACUCUAGGGAGACUGCCUGGAAUAACCAGGAGGAAGGUGGGGAUGACGUCAAAUCAUCAUGGCCCUUACGGCCAGGGCUAGACACGUGCUACAAUGGUUGGUACAACGGGCUGCUAAGUCGCAAGGCUAUGCCAAUCCCUAAAAACCAAUCUCAGUUCGGAUUGAAGUCUUCAAUUUGACUUCAUGAAGUUGGAAUCGCUAGUAAUCGCGGAUCAGCAUGCCGCGGUGAAUACGCUCCCGGGCCUUGUACACACCGCCCGUCAAGCCAUGAAAGAUGAUAGUACCCGAAGUCGUUAUUCUAACC
Molecule: ribosomal RNA, 1462 nt
Filed under: metagenome
Description: bacterial SSU rRNA
Rfam family: Bacterial small subunit ribosomal RNA
Source: RNAcentral